GAUGAACGCUGGCGGCGUGCCUAAUACAUGCAAGUCGAGCGAACAGACGAGGAGCUUGCUCCUCUGACGUUAGCGGCGGACGGGUGAGUAACACGUGGAUAACCUACCUAUAAGACUGGGAUAACUUCGGGAAACCGGAGCUAAUACCGGAUAAUAUAUUGAACCGCAUGGUUCAAUAGUGAAAGACGGUUUUGCUGUCACUUAUAGAUGGAUCCGCGCCGCAUUAGCUAGUUGGUAAGGUAACGGCUUACCAAGGCAACGAUGCGUAGCCGACCUGAGAGGGUGAUCAGCCACACUGGAACUGAGACACGGUCCAGACUCCUACGGGAGGCAGCAGUAGGGAAUCUUCCGCAAUGGGCGAAAGCUUGACGGAGCAACGCCGCGUGAGUGAUGAAGGUCUUCGGAUCGUAAAACUCUGUUAUUAGGGAAGAACAAAUGUGUAAGUAACUAUGCACGUCUUGACGGUACCUAAUCAGAAAGCCACGGCUAACUACGUG
This 497-nucleotide ribosomal RNA is filed under the name uncultured bacterium. RNAcentral describes it as "partial 16S ribosomal RNA". It matches the Rfam family "Bacterial small subunit ribosomal RNA", at positions 28 to 507 of the family's 1533-position model. The record is from RNAcentral.